CGCCGGCUAACUACGUGCCAGCAGCCGCGGUAAUACGUAGGGCGCGAGCGUUGUCCGGAAUUAUUGGGCGUAAAGAGCUUGUAGGCGGUUUGUCGCGUCUGCUGUGAAAGGCCGGGGCUUAACCCCGUGUAUUGCAGUGGGUACGGGCAGACUAGAGUGCAGUAGGGGAGACUGGAAUUCCUGGUGUAGCGGUGGAAUGCGCAGAUAUCAGGAGGAACACCGAUGGCGAAGGCAGGUCUCUGGGCUGUAACUGACGCUGAGAAGCGAAAGCAUGGGGAGCGAACAGGAUUAGAUACCCUGGUAGUCCAUGCCGUAAACGUUGGGCACUAGGUGUGGGGGACAUUCCACGUUUUCCGCGCCGUAGCUAACGCAUUAAGUGCCCCGCCUGGGGAGUACGGCCGCAAGGCUAAAACUCAAAGAAAUUGACGGGGGCCCGCACAAGCGGCGGAGCAUGCGGAUUAAUUCGAUGCAACGCGAAGAACCUUACCAAGGCUUGACAUAUACUGGACCGCAUCAGAGAUGGUGUUUCCCUUCGGGGCUGGUAUACAGGUGGUGCAUGGUUGUCGUCAGCUCGUGUCGUGAGAUGUUGGGUUAAGUCCCGCAACGAGCGCAACCCUCGUUCUAUGUUGCCAGCACGUUAUGGUGGGGACUCAUAGGAGACUGCCGGGGUCAACUCGGAGGAAGGUGGGGAUGACGUCAAAUCAUCAUGCCCCUUAUGUCUUGGGCUUCACGCAUGCUACAAUGGCCGGUACAGAGGGUUGCGAUACUGUGAGGUGGAGCUAAUCCCUAAAAGCCGGUCUCAGUUCGGAUUGGGGUCUGCAACUCGACCCCAUGAAGUCGGAGUCGCUAGUAAUCGCAGAUCAGCAACGCUGCGGUGAAUACGUUCCCGGGCCUUGUACACACCGCCCGUCAAGUCACGAAAGUUGGUAACACCCAAAGCCGGUGGCCUAACCCUUUGGGAGGGAGCCGUCUAAAUGGUGG
RNAcentral lists this ribosomal RNA (981 nucleotides) under Rothia mucilaginosa. Its description in RNAcentral is "bacterial SSU rRNA". It matches the Rfam family "Bacterial small subunit ribosomal RNA", at positions 491 to 1465 of the family's 1533-position model. Lineage: Bacteria; Bacillati; Actinomycetota; Actinomycetes; Micrococcales; Micrococcaceae. The record is from RNAcentral.